GGCGAGCGGUGAUGAUGCUCGACAGUCUGUCGUUUUUCCUGAUGUCAACUGACGGUUUUAAGUCACUACCUCAUCUGAGCUCGAG
Molecule: small nucleolar RNA, 85 nt
Organism: Salarias fasciatus (jewelled blenny)
Lineage: Eukaryota; Metazoa; Chordata; Actinopteri; Blenniiformes; Blenniidae
Source: Ensembl